AUCUUAGAAAUAAAUCUUGAAUAUUUUUUACCGUAUUUCAAAUCCUUGAAAUUGCAAGUGUUAUUUUAAUGGCAAUAUAAAAAUAAUAAAUGAAUUAAUAAAAAAUUCAUAAAUUUUUUUUGCAUGACGGAGGUUACUGUAUAAUAUGACAAUAUAAGAAACAGAUCACAAGAUAGAUAACAAAUUGCAUGAAAUGUAAAAAAGCAAUCUACGUUUAUAAUAAAUUAAAAGGACAUGGUCAUGCAUAUCGAAUUAAUUAUUAACGUAGACUGCUUCGUAUUAUUAAUCAUGAUGAUUCAAAAAUAACCCCAGUGGUGUUAAAAAUGUGGAAGCUGAAGAAUAUGAUCGAAGCAUUGCUGCCUAUUUAAAUUUUUCAGUAUCAAUUAUGUUUGCACUGAAACUGUUAAUAAGUGGGAACAAACUGGGGAAAUAAUUCAUAAGCUCGAGCUGGAGUCUAAAGAUACAAAUUUCCAAAGGGAAAUAAAACAGUUUUCGAUGCAAAUGUUGCAAAAUCCAUUAAAAUUUACUCUAUGUGGACUAUUAGAUCUUGGUUUUUAUUUUGUCAGAGAUUUUGCUGGAUCCGUAACAACACAACUUAUCAUAUUGAUUCAAACCUAUCCAAUGCACAAUAAUACACCGUAAAAAUAAUAUUUUUAAAGUUUAAUUGCAUUGUAAAAAUUUUAAAUGUCAUCAUGAUAUUAAAUAAUUCAAUUAUUAGUGUUCUCAAGUGUUAAUUGUAAUGCAAUUACUGUAAAAUAUUUAAAAAAGAAAUAAACCACCCGCGAGUCAAUUAAUUACUAUAAUUAAGUCUGCAUUUCAUGAGUACUUUUUAUGUAUUAUUUCAAUAUUUAUAAAUAAAUAAUUAAUGAAAUUAAGUUUGCAUGACUAACAAUAGAUGAUUAUCAAAAGUUGAUUCAAGGAAGAUAGUAAAUGAGUUGCGUAUAACAUAAAACCGCAAAGUGUAAUGCAAUAACUGAUAAAAAAUACAUUAUAACAAUGAUAGAACGAUGUAUAUCGAACUAAUUAUUACUAAGUACGGCGGUUGUUUAAAGUGAAGCUCAUAUGAGUGUCAUCAGUUGCGCUCAUAAUGUGGAAACCAAAGAAUUUACUCGAGGCUCUGUUGCCUAUACAUAUUUUAAAUAUUAUUUUUUGUCACGGAGUAAUACAAUAUCCAAGUGUUGAUAAAUCGAAAAUAUUUUAUUCUUUUCUGCAUUCAAUUAUCUCGGCAAUAAUGUUCUUGACAUGUUUUAUUCUAGUAUUUUUGAAUUAUUCCAAUCCAUCAUGGGCAAAUAAAUACAAUCUAUCAUAUUUUGUUAAUGCAACUGCAGUAACUUGUGUCAUGUUUAUAAACCUUAUUGUCCGC
Molecule: long non-coding RNA, 1363 nt
Organism: Microplitis mediator
Lineage: Eukaryota; Metazoa; Arthropoda; Insecta; Hymenoptera; Braconidae
Exons: 3
Source: RefSeq, a predicted model, not a curated record